RNAcentral lists this ribosomal RNA (541 nucleotides) under uncultured archaeon. Its description in RNAcentral is "bacterial SSU rRNA". It matches the Rfam family "Archaeal small subunit ribosomal RNA", at positions 333 to 879 of the family's 1478-position model. The record is from RNAcentral.
CAGCAGGCGCGAAAACUUUGCAAUGCGGGAAACCGUGACAAGGGAACUCUGAGUGCCCGUUAAAUCGGGCUGUCCAUCGGUUAAACAACCGGUGAAGAAAGGGCCGGGCAAGACCGGUGCCAGCCGCCGCGGUAAUACCGGCGGCUCGAGUGGUGGCCACUAUUACUGGGCUUAAAGCGUUCGUAGCUGGUUUGUUAAGUCUCUGGGGAAAUCUUCCGGCUCAACCGGAAGGCGUCUCAGGGAUACUGGCAGACUAGGGACCGGGAGAGGUGAGAGGUACUCCAGGGGUAGGAGUGAAAUCCUGUAAUCCUUGGGGGACCACCUGUGGCGAAGGCGUCUCACCAGAACGGCUCCGACAGUGAGGGACGAAAGCUGGGGGAGCAAACCGGAUUAGAUACCCGGGUAGUCCCAGCUGUAAACGAUGCGCGUUAGGCGUAUCGGUGACCACGAGUCACCGAGGUGCCGAAGAGAAAUCGUGAAACGUGCCGCCUGGGAAGUACGGUCGCAAGGCUGAAACUUAAAGGAAUUGGCGGGGGAGCAC